This 253-nucleotide ribosomal RNA is filed under the name uncultured bacterium. Its description in RNAcentral is "partial 16S ribosomal RNA". It matches the Rfam family "Bacterial small subunit ribosomal RNA", at positions 524 to 776 of the family's 1533-position model. The record is from RNAcentral.
UACGAAAGUUGCAAGCGUUACUCGGAAUCACUGGGCGUAAAGCGCACGUAGGCGGACUCGUAGGUCAAUUGUGAAAUACCUGGGCUCAACCCGGGAACUGCAGUUGAAACCGCUUGUCUUGAAUACCUGAGAGGGUGGGGGAAUACCUGGUGGAGAAGUGAAAUUCGUAGAGAUCAGGUGGAACACCGGAGGCGAAGGCGCCUGCCUGGCAGUGUAUUGACGCUGAGGUGCGAAAGUGCGGGGAGCAAACAGG